Long non-coding RNA from Cyprinus carpio (common carp), 1021 nucleotides. RefSeq lists it as uncharacterized. Lineage: Eukaryota; Metazoa; Chordata; Actinopteri; Cypriniformes; Cyprinidae. The record is from RefSeq and is a predicted model, not a curated record. The transcript is spliced from 4 exons.
UCUGUCUCCUCCCGAUUCUAUAGAUGCCAGACAGGAUGACCAACAUAUCCUUCAGCGGACGAUAGAGCACAUAUGUCUGGGUGUCUAUCAAAAAAAAGCAAGCCUUUAUAAUCAGACAGACAGCAACAAGAUUCGACAAAUGCGGCGACGGAAAUUGGGGGACGAGAAAAGAAAACUCUUUGAAGCAAUCAAACGAUACAAUGAGCAGGUGCCAGAGGAGGAGGGCAUAAAUGAGCAGAUGGUGGAGAGCCGACUCUCUAUGGUGGGCCAUGCCAGUGGGGAGGACAGUCUAAUAUGGCCAUGGGAGGUUCACAGCACUGAAUCCACAAACAUCCUCACUAAGAAGAAGAUCUUCGAUGCAUGCAUGUCAAAGAUGCGGCUGCAAGAAGAGAAGAUCCUAAUUCUUAGGGAGAUGAGACAGCACUGCACCUAGCUCAGAGGGUUGGCCGAUGGCAUUAGGAAGCUGAUUGCAGACAUGUCUGGAGGAAACCGUGGCAGUUUAACUGACGAGGGGCAUUGUGGGCUACAGUGUCUUCUACAGGAAAGGCUUGCUGAUGUGGAGGAGAAGAUUCAAGUCGUUUCCUCAAGAUACAGCUUGGCUUUAGGACCUCUAUUCCCUGAAGACUGGUCCGAGGAGAUACCGGAGAUACCGGAUGAGAGUAAAGGACUUGAAUAUGAGAGCUCAGAGGACAGUGAUUUGGAAGAUGUCUAAUUUGUGAAUUGACAUGUGUUUUUGCAUUUGCUUGCCUGUUGUUUUUUUGUUUUGUUUUUUUUGGCGGGGUGGUUUUGGACAUGCCCUUUUUCAAUAGAUAGCCUCUCUCAUUUAAUUUACAUAAAUACCAUUGCCUUUAUUGUGAUGAGUAAACUAGCAAAUUUAUUUUAGUGUCAGAUGAAGUGUCCCCACCCACCAGCCCUGUAACUGGUCAAACUGAUGUACUUGGUACUGACUCUAUAAAUAAAAAGCUGAUGUAUAGUGAUCUUUCUGCUGUUAUGCUUUAUAAGCUCUGUUUGCUAGGCUUAA